RNAcentral lists this non-coding RNA (24 nucleotides) under Cricetulus griseus (Chinese hamster). The record is from RNAcentral. Lineage: Eukaryota; Metazoa; Chordata; Mammalia; Rodentia; Cricetidae.
AAGCAUACUGGAAAGUGUGCUUGG